Long non-coding RNA from Prionailurus viverrinus (fishing cat), 3556 nucleotides. RefSeq lists it as uncharacterized. NCBI's taxonomy places the organism in Eukaryota, Metazoa, Chordata, Mammalia, Carnivora, Felidae. The record is from RefSeq and is a predicted model, not a curated record. The transcript is spliced from 3 exons.
UUUGACCCGGGCGGGAGCCAGGAGCUGGUCUCAGUGCCCGGGCGGCUCCCACCUCUCACGGACUGAGCGCCCCGGGUGCUGACUCAUGCUCGGACUCUCCCGUCCAGCCGGGUGCACGCCCACGACGUGCCCUCCUUCUCGCUUCUCCACUGCUUCCUCCCAGGCGCUUCCAGGCGCCCACACGCGCGCUCCCGUCCCGCCGCCGCCCCUCCUAGCAACCGCCCUCCGCUCCCCCUGCCAGAUCCGGAAACGGGCGGUCUGGUCCGCUGCUGCCUCCGGAACCCUGCAAGCCGCUAGGCCUCCGCCUCCGCCUCCGGCUCCCCUGCCCUCUGCUGAAACCACCCUGCUGAAGGUCGACCGAGCCCGCCUGCCCCGCGAGGACAGGUGGCCCUGGGCCUCCCACUCCCGCUCCCGCCCUGCGGCGCCGAUGCUCCGGCUGCCGCCUCUUCCCGGAUGGACCUGCUCGCUCCCCUGGUUUCCAUGACACUGCACUUUCCCACGCCGCCUCCGAGUUUCUGACAGCUCGUUUCCUCGCUGGCAUCGCCCCCCCCCCCCCUCAGCCUCUCCCCGUGGGCCUGCCCGAGGCGCUGCCCUGGGCUCUCUCUCCCUCCUCCCGCUUGCGUGCCCACGGGCUCCCCCUCCGCCCCUGCCUCGUGCCACCCCCUCCCCCCACUGCUGCCUCUCCAGCGGCUGCCCGUCCCUCCGUAGCCCCCAGUCCCACGUGGCUAGGGCUUACGGAACUCUUACCCUAUCCCCACCCCAUGUCCUAAAUCACUGGACGUCAGACUGGUGCCCCUGGAGGUGUUCAGGCGUGGUCUGGCCCGCCAGCCACAUGACCUGGUGGGAUGUCCUGGAGGUGACUUCACAUGCCCCCUGCGCCUGAGCCCCGCGGCAGGCCUGCGCGAGUGGCCCAGUUUGGAAGACAAAUGAUAUAUUCACCCUCCUUCGGGGGUCAAGGAGGAGAAAGCAUCCGGGAGGAGGAAACACAGGUGUAAACUACCACGGAAAGAACAAGGAAGCGGUGUUUGCAAUGUGGUCCGCUGGAGUUGAGUUUGGCGAACUUCUGACUUUGAGAGAGGUUUCUGAGGAAAGAAGUGGAUUGUCAGUAUGACAGCCUAUGAGUCAAGUGAAGAAGCCCAUGAAAAUAUUUUAUGCUGCCAACUUUGGCCAGCUUGUACGGACAACUGACUGAUAACUUGCGGUAUGGACCGGAAGCAAGAAUUUAGGGUAGGCAUGGAUGGGCUGAAGCUCUGGCUGGCAACACGAGAAAUCUGUCUCCAUAGUCAAGCUGUUACCGCAAAGCUGUGUCUCCUCAGUGCCCUUAUAUACAAAGAAACCGUUGCCCUCCAGAAUUCGUGUGCAGAUUUAAGACAAGUACUUAAUGAAGCUGAUAAACUUGUCAAUCAUGUCACAAGCAGGCAGUUCAAUAAAGACCUGACCUGUUUUCUUGGCUGAAUGAAGAGACGGGUGGUGACUACAAAGAACCACUGUUUCAAAUGAAAGCUCAUUGUCUUUUGAUUAGAAAAGUUUUUACUGAGUUAUAAGGGGAACUUUACUGUUUCAGAGAAAACUUUCCUUUGGUGAGAUAGUAUAGCAGGGUGGGCGUGGCUUACAAGUUAGUCUGUGUGCUCAUCUCAACUCCUGUACAUGCUGUUACCAGGCAAGUGUAUGAGGAGUCGGCCAUCGACACCCGGGAGAUGCAUUGGCAGAAACCUGGCCCCGUCUGGCAGAGACUUCGAUCCUGGGACUUAAGGUUUUUGCUGUUGCCUGAAAGACCUGGUUUUUAACUCAUCUGAAAAUAGGAAGAGAUAUUAGACGACUUAAUAAAAAGGCUAAGGAGUCAAACUGGAAGUGGUUUAGUAGACAAGGAAACUUUUACUGCUCUACUUUAGGACAUCACCAAAUAAUUUUGGACCUUAGUUUGAAGAGCGGAUCCUGGAGAUAGUGUCAGAUGGUUUCUUGAAACUACUUUUCUGGUUCUUUCGUUCGGGGUUUUUGUUUUUGAAUACAGUCAUUUAUAUCAUUUUCUUCCACUCGCAUCAUUUUGAGUGGGAAUUAUCUUUCAGCAUCUGAUCCAGUCAGGGGAGACAGUUAAACAGAGUAGGAGUCAACGUUUCCUGGCACUUUCUUUGUGCAAGGGACCGUUGGAAGUGCACAUACUCAUUUAAUCCUCUCAGUGACACCGUCAAGUAAUACCAUCCCAUAAAUAAGUGACUGUUAUUAUCUUUGUUUUAUAGAUAUUGAAACUUAGGCACAAAAGGUUAAGCACUUUGCCCAAGGUCGCACAGGUAGAAAAGCCAGGAUUAAAGGCCAGACAAUUCUGCCUGCCAAGGGCAAACUUUGAACCAUUGCGCUAUAUUUUUUAAAUAUAUAAAUAUGCAUGUAUGUAUAUACUUAACAUAAGUGGCACUUUAUUGCUCCUGCAACAAAUGACCACAAGCCUCCUGGUUAAAGCAGCAUGCGGUUAUUAUCUCAGCAUCAUGGAGGUCAGAAGUCCGAAAUGGAUGUCACCAGGGCUGCGUUCCUUCUGGAGGCUCUAGGGAGAAUCUGUUUCCUUGCUUUUUUUCAUUUUCUAGAGGUUACCUGCAUCCCUCGACUCUUGGCUCCCUUCCCCCAUCUUCAAAGGCGGAAGUGUCACACUUUCAGUUCUCUCUCUGACUCUGACAAUGAUUCUCCUGUCUCCCUCUUUUGCUUGUAAGGACACUUGAGAUUACAUCUGGAUAAUCCAGGAUCAUCUCUUGAUUGUAAGGUCGUUGACUAGCAACCCUAAUUCCAUCUGCAACCUGAAUUACUCCUUGCCACAUAGCAUAACAUGUUCACGGGUUCCGGGAGUGGGGACAUGGAUAUCUUAGCGAGGUCACCAUCCUGCCAACCAUAACUUUCUUAGUUCACACUCUGAAACUUAAAACCCAAAACGGUGUCCAGUGGAUAAUCUCCCUCUAUGUUUGCUCCCUGGCCACAUAGCUCCCUUCCUCAGAAGCAUCUGAUGUUAUCCUGUGUCCUAGAUAUAUUUUAUGCAUGUGAAGGCAAAUAUGUAUAUUUGUUAUUUUUUUAAUUGUUUGAUCUUCCCUACAAACACUGUCCUACAUAUUGCUUGUUUUCAUUUAAAAGCUAUGUCCUGGAGAUCGGUCAGGUUCAUAUAUAAAGAUCUGGGUGUCCUUCUUUUCUGUGUCUACAUCAUCUUCCACUCCAUGAGUGUAUAUUAUGUUGUAUUUACCUUCUUCACUUAGCCCACAGGACAGGUGGGGGGGGGGUCUCCAAUCUUUCAGUUGUUUUCAGUGUUUUGCGAUACAAACAAUGCUGUAGUGAACAGCUUUGUACCCUCAUCUGGAAAGUGUAGGGUGUGUCUAUAGGAUUAACCUCUAGAAGGAGAAUGACAGGGUCAUGGAGUCUGUGCAUGUGUCAUUUAGCUAGCUAAUGCGAAACUGCCUUCUUUUACCCUUUCCAAUUAGGAAUUUAAAAAAUAAAUAAAGGGGCGCCUGGGUGGCUCAGUCGGUUAAGCGUCCGACUUCGGCUCAGGUCACGAUCUCAUGGCUCAUGAGUUCAAGCCCCAAUC